AUCCCAUGAUGUGGGCACUUUCGAAGCAUCUCCUUGUAGCGUUCCCAAGCUUCACAUAAAGUUUCACCAGACAGCUGAGAGAAUUGAGUGAUAGCAUUCCUGAUUGC
Daucus carota subsp. sativus is the source of this 107-nucleotide non-coding RNA. The record is from Rfam. NCBI's taxonomy places the organism in Eukaryota, Viridiplantae, Streptophyta, Magnoliopsida, Apiales, Apiaceae.